Molecule: ribosomal RNA, 790 nt
Filed under: Hydrophana sphaerospora
Lineage: Eukaryota; Fungi; Basidiomycota; Agaricomycetes; Auriculariales
Description: partial large subunit ribosomal RNA
Rfam family: Eukaryotic large subunit ribosomal RNA
Source: RNAcentral
CCCCUAGUAACGGCGAGUGAAGCGGGAAGAGCUCAAAUUUAAAAUCUGGCGCCUCCGGUGCCCGAGUUGUAAUCUAGAGAGGUGUUUUCCGCGCCGGACCGUGCACAAGUCCCUUGGAACAGGGCGUCGUAGAGGGUGAGAAUCCCGUCCACGGCACGGACUCCCGGUGCUCUGUGAUACGCCUUCAAAGAGUCGAGUUGUUUGGGAAUGCAGCUCAGAAUGGGUGGUAAAUUCCAUCUAAAGCUAAAUACAGGCGAGAGACCGAUAGCGAACAAGUACCGUGAGGGAAAGAUGAAAAGAACUUUGGAAAGAGAGUUAAACAGUACGUGAAAUUGUUGAAAGGGAAACGCUUGGAGUCAGUCGUGUCUGCCGGGACUCAGCCGGGCUUGCUCGGUGCAUUUCUCGGUGGACGGGCCAGCAUCGAUUUCUUCCGCCGGAUAAAGGCAAGAGGAAGGUGGCACCCUCGGGUGUGUUAUAGCCUCUUGCUAAACGGUGGUGGGGAUCGAGGACCGCAGCACGGAUCGGGGUUCGCCCACGCCGCGUGCUUAGGAUGCUGGCGUAAUGGCUUUAAGCGACCCGUCUUGAAACACGGACCAAGGAGUCUAACAUGCCCGCGAGUGUUAGGGUGGCAAACCCUUCCGCGUAAUGAAAGUGAAAGGUUGGGACUCCCUCGAGGAGGCACCGACGCCCGAACCUGAAGUUCUCUGACGGUUUUGAGGCAGAGCGUGUAUGUUGGGACCCGAAAGAUGGUGAACUAUGCCUGAAUAGGGCGAAGCAGAGGAAACUCUGG